GUGGGGAAUAUUGGACAAUGGGGGGAACCCUGAUCCAGCCAUGCCGCGUGUGUGAAGAAGGCCUUUUGGUUGUAAAGCACUUUAAGUGGGGAGGAGGCUUACCUAGUUAAUACCUGGGCUAAGUGGACGUUACCCACAGAAUAAGCACCGGCUAACUCUGUGCCAGCAGCCGCGGUAAUACAGAGGGUGCGAGCGUUAAUCGGAUUUACUGGGCGUAAAGCGCGCGUAGGUGGUUAAUUAAGUCAAAUGUGAAAUCCCCGAGCUUAACUUGGGAAUUGCAUUCGAUACUGGUUGGCUAGAGUAUGGGAGAGGAUGGUAGAAUUCCAGGUGUAGCGGUGAAAUGCGUAGAGAUCUGGAGGAAUACCGAUGGCGAAGGCAGCCAUCUGGCCUAAUACUGACACUGAGGUGCGAAAGCAUGGGGAGCAAACAGGAUUAGAAACCCCUGUAGUCC
Molecule: ribosomal RNA, 451 nt
Filed under: uncultured bacterium
Lineage: Bacteria
Description: partial 16S ribosomal RNA
Rfam family: Bacterial small subunit ribosomal RNA
Source: RNAcentral